Long non-coding RNA from Heterocephalus glaber (naked mole-rat), 643 nucleotides. NCBI's taxonomy places the organism in Eukaryota, Metazoa, Chordata, Mammalia, Rodentia, Bathyergidae. The record is from Ensembl.
CCGGGCCAGCUGCGGCCGCCCCGCCAAUCUCUGCCCUCCUCUCCGCCCGGCGCCACUGAGCCCCACGCCUGUGCCGAGCUCUGGGGUACGGGCGCCCUAGUCCCGCCGCCGUAGCCACUGCCGGUGCGCCGCAGCUGCCGCGCCACUGAGGCAGAGAAGGAAGAAGAGGAAGGGACUGGAAGCUACUGAAUUUCCCAGUGUUUGCUUCACCACCACCCUCUACCUCCAGGACUUUAACAAUUCAGUCAGCCUCUCAAAGAUAAGGAAGAUGAGGCUCAGAGAAAUGGACGACUUGCUACACAGAGGUGAAAAUCACAAAGAGGUGAAACCUAGAGGCAAGCCCCAAUCUGUGGAACUCCCAAACUGUAUUCCAUUACUCAGUCUGGAGGACAGGCUUUGAUAGCCAAAAGCACUGCAGAACCCCCAAAUUAUGAAGGAACAAAUGGACUCCUUGAGUAGGCAAAAGGAAGGACUAAAGGCUUGAGGAUUAACAGACACACACAUUUGCCUCAUCAUUUUUCCAAAGGAUAGUCAUGCCUACAAGUGAGCUUAAAGUGGCCCAUGUAGACCACUUGGACAUUUAACAACAGAGCCCACUCCUGAACCUUUCCCCACAUGCAACCAUUUAUAUACAUUGUCAAAG